AUAGCGUAUAUUAAAGUUGUUGCAGUUAAAAAGCUCGUAGUUGAACUUCAGACCUGGCCGGGCGGUCCGCUUUUCGGCGUGUUACUGUCUGGCCGGGCCUUACCUCUUGGUGAGCCUGCAUGCCCUUUACUGGACGUGUAGGAGAACCAGGACCUUUACCUUGAGAAAAUUAGAGUGUUCAAAGCAGGCAUACGCCCGAAUACAUUAGCAUGGAAUAAUAAAAUAGGACGUGCGGUUCUAUUUUGUUGGUUUCUAGAGUCGCCGUAAUGAUUAAUAGGGAUAGUUGGGGGCAUUAGUAUUCAGUUGCUAGAGGUGAAAUUCUUGGAUUUACUGAAGACUAACUACUG
RNAcentral lists this ribosomal RNA (347 nucleotides) under uncultured eukaryote. RNAcentral describes it as "SSU rRNA". It matches the Rfam family "Eukaryotic small subunit ribosomal RNA", at positions 594 to 945 of the family's 1831-position model. The record is from RNAcentral.